RNAcentral lists this ribosomal RNA (253 nucleotides) under uncultured archaeon. RNAcentral describes it as "partial 16S ribosomal RNA". It matches the Rfam family "Archaeal small subunit ribosomal RNA", at positions 474 to 726 of the family's 1478-position model. The record is from RNAcentral.
CCCCAGCGCCACAAGUGGGAAUCGGUAUUAUUGGGUCUAAAGCGUCCGUAGCAGGUCUAUUAAAUUGCUUGUGAAAUCGCACAGCUCAACUGUGCGGAAUGCAGGUAGGACUGGUAGACUAGAGACUGGGAGACGUUGGAGGUAUUCAAAGGGGAGCGGUAAAAUACGAGAAUCCUUUGAAGACCACCUGUUGCGAAGGCGUCCAACAAUAACAGGUCUGACUGUGAGGGGCGAAAGCUAGGGGAGCGAACCG